Molecule: long non-coding RNA, 1820 nt
Organism: Clupea harengus (Atlantic herring)
Lineage: Eukaryota; Metazoa; Chordata; Actinopteri; Clupeiformes; Clupeidae
Source: Ensembl
CCGAGUUAACUUACACAGGGUUGUCACUAACCACGUUCUUGGAAUGCCCCCUGGACUCAGGUCUGCACACACCUCUCUCUGCUGCUCAGAGUCCUGCACACACCUCUCUCUCUGCUGCUCAGAGUCCUGCACGGACAGGCAAGCCUCAGCACGCUGUUGUACAAACACUUUACUUUCCCUGGCUGCUGUUCAAGAGGGGAUUUAAGUCUCUUCCCUUCAGCACACAAUGUCUGACGUGGUUGUCAAAGCCAUAAUAAUAAUAACAAUAAUAAAACAUCACGUUUAUAUAGCGCCUUUCACAGUUCUCAAAGACCAUGACAAUCCAAGGACCAAACACAGUGGUGGGUCGACCUUUACCUGCACAGAACUGUGGGAUAGGUUUUUGCCCCCACUACUAAACCUUGAUCAGAAUAGUCAGUACCGGACCUCGUUCGUAAGUGGUUGAGUCCUCCUUGGUUUGCGAUGGACAGUUGUGAAAACGUAGCGGGACAAGUGUUAAAAUCACUCAAUCAGUUGAUAAUGUCAAAUAUAGAUGUUUGUGAGAGCACUGAGGUGACAUCACAUCACACCUUUAGCUGCUUCUGAACCCUGCCUCAAUUCCUACGUCCCACACGGUGCACACAAGCAUCUGUUGUGAAAUCAGAGAGGAAAAAUACAGAUCAGAGAUGGAGUUCAGGUAAGUGUGAAACAUGGCCGCCACAUUACGCCUCUUCACCAACCAGUGUCUGACGUUCUGCUCAAGAACAAUCUAGAAGGAUUCAGUGAUUUCCAACACAAUCAUUAAAGUCAGAAGGGAUGAAUACAUUAAAUUCAAACUGUUUUUGAAGUGAGUUCCAGGAUGAAGGUGUGUUAUAGAAAAACGCUACCUUGCCAAAUUCACAUUUUAUGAGUCCAUUGAUGAGGACGGAACUGUUAGACUGUAUAUAUCUAUUGUUGGUGAACCAAUAACUGCUUUGUAUAUGAAGCGGAGUGGAGGCUAACCAGAAAGAUUAUAAAUCACAGUAAUGAGUGGAAUGCCAAGCCUUAGUCGAAAAUGGGUAAAAAUAAAAAAAUAAAAGUAUAUGUAGCAAGCGCUUUACAUGCUUGAAGAAUGUUUUUUUUUUUUUUUUCAGAGGGCCCAUAAAAAAGGCUGAAACAGAUAAACUACUGUAUGUUAAGUGAUAUUGGGGAACACUGUUUAUCAUACUUAGUGACAAAAGAAUACUACACCUUCUCCAGUGUGUCAUAAAGCACAGCUAACAGUGGUUUAAAUACUGCAUCUUCUCCAGUGUGUAUUACAGCACAGCUAACAGUGGUUUAAAUACUACACCUUCUCGAUGUGUAUUACAGCACAGCUAACAGUGGUUUAAAUACUACACCUUCUCCAGUGUCUCACAGCACAGCUAACAGUGGUUUGUGUACCUACUGGGCAUUGGUGUCGUCAGCUCUGUGCUGAUCGGCGGAUCAGGAACACCUAAAUGGCAUUCGGAGUAUUUUAUGAGCGUUACUCAUCCUGACGCAUUACUCUAUCUGACAUCCAACAUGUGCCGGCAUGCUUCCCAUGCCAAAAUACACAACAAGUGGACUUCAGAGCCUAGUCUUUCAGCCCAGCCAUAUUUAUUAAGUCUGCUUUUGAAAUGUCCCUGCAACAGGUUCAAACAUCUUUCCUUCCUAGACUAGCAUGCAAACGGCCAUUUUGUUUGAUUCCUAAAGACCAGAGGAAUUGUGUUCAGAUGCUAAAUCAGCUGUGAUUGAUUCCUAAAGAAAAGACCAGAGGAACUGUGUUCAGGUGCUAAAUCAGCUGUGUUUGAUUCCUAAAGAAAAGACCAGAAGAACAGUGU